GACCUUGGCUGCUGUCUGACAAAGGGUGUUAUAUGGGAAGUGAUCCCCUUUGCUAACAGGCUGGAGGGGGGGGAGAGAGAGAGAGAGAGAGAGAAGCCAAGAGUUCAAGAUAAACACUGUUCCAGACAUUUCCCAGUGGAGAGCUAAGCUCACAGCUAAGACAAUUCCAGAUCCCGUUCAGAGAGGGUACGCUUUUUUUUUCCCUUUCUCAUGUGCAGAACUAAAGAUUUGUGCACUCAGUUGCUAUGGAAACAAAAAGGACAGAAACAGUUUAUGUAAUUCAAAAGCUGUCAGCCUAUGUGCUGGGGAUUUUGAUAACUAAACCUAAACACGAACCAUCCUUUUUAAAAACCAUUGUGACACUUAUUACUGUUGCUAGGGGAAAUAAGGCAACUAUUUGUUUAGCUAGUUUCCCAUCAGUUUUAUAAAUAGUUUGGAUUUUAAUUUGUGAUCUUAAUCAGUGUUUAUCAAAUAAGAAUGGAAAUAAAGUGA
Non-coding RNA from Meleagris gallopavo (turkey), 492 nucleotides. NCBI's taxonomy places the organism in Eukaryota, Metazoa, Chordata, Aves, Galliformes, Phasianidae. The record is from RefSeq and is a predicted model, not a curated record.